Molecule: non-coding RNA, 149 nt
Organism: Chania multitudinisentens RB-25
Lineage: Bacteria; Pseudomonadati; Pseudomonadota; Gammaproteobacteria; Enterobacterales; Yersiniaceae
Rfam family: Salmonella enterica Typhi npcRNA 44
Source: Rfam
CUUUAACAAUCUGGAACAAGCUGAAAAUUGAAACCUGACAGCUGAAACUUGUCCCGCCGUAGAGUUAUGGGGAUAAGGAGUACCCUGUCAGAGAGUCUCUCAAAUGUUUACAGCACGAUGUGUUCUCUGUUUACAGAAGACACCUUCGG